CAGCUCAGCAUUCAACACCAUAGUGCCCUCAAAUCUCAUCACUAAGCGUAAGGACCCUGGGACAAAACAGAGGGUAGUGCGUACGGCCCAGUAUAUCACUGAGGCCAAGCUUCCUGCCACCCAGGACCUCUCUAUACCAGGUGUGUAUAAAAAUGUCAAAGACUCCAGCCAUCCUAGUCAUAGACUGUUCUCUCUCUGCUACCGAAUGGCAAACACUACCGGACCGCCACGUCUAGGUCCAAAAGACUUCUUAACAGCUUCCACCCCCAAGCCAUGAGACUCCUGAACAGCUUCCACCCCCAAGCCAUGAGACUCCUGAACAGCUUCCACCCCCCAAGCCAUGAGACUCCUGAACAGCCUUCCACCCCCAAGCCAUGAGACUCCUGAACAGCUUCCACCCCCCAAGCCAUGAGACUCCUGAACAGCUUCCACCCCCAAGCCAUGAGACUCCUGAACAGCUUCCACCCCC
Long non-coding RNA from Oncorhynchus tshawytscha (Chinook salmon), 469 nucleotides. The record is from Ensembl. Lineage: Eukaryota; Metazoa; Chordata; Actinopteri; Salmoniformes; Salmonidae.